This 254-nucleotide long non-coding RNA is filed under the name Physcomitrium patens. Its description in RNAcentral is "long non-coding RNA (PPAT_LNC001603)". The record is from RNAcentral. Lineage: Eukaryota; Viridiplantae; Streptophyta; Bryopsida; Funariales; Funariaceae.
UCACAACUUUCAGCACACAAUUAUCCUCAUUCUAAUCACUAGAAUUCUUCACACAGAACUAUCAUUCAUAUUACGGUGUUUUACACAAACAUAGACUCAUUCUCUUUGUUGAACUACAAUCAAAUUUCAACAUUCAAUCUUUCUUCUUCUCAAAUAAUACCAAUCACAUUUCCAUUCCAUAAUUCACUUCACAAUAUUCAGAAACUCUCAAUCCUCUUAUUCAAAGAAAAUAAUAAACAAAAGAAAAGAGAUAG